RNAcentral lists this ribosomal RNA (449 nucleotides) under uncultured bacterium. Its description in RNAcentral is "partial 16S ribosomal RNA". It matches the Rfam family "Bacterial small subunit ribosomal RNA", at positions 29 to 523 of the family's 1533-position model. The record is from RNAcentral.
AACGAACGCUGGCGGCAUGCCUAACACAUGCAAGUCGAACGAGACCUUCGGGUCUAGUGGCGCACGGGUGCGUAACGCGUGGGAAUCUGCCCUCAGGUACGGAAUAACUCAGGGAAACUUGAGCUAAUACCGUAUAAUGACUUCGGUCCAAAGAUUUAUCGCCUGAGGAUGAGCCCGCGUCGGAUUAGCUAGUUGGUGAGGUAAAAGCUCACCAAGGCGACGAUCCGUAGCUGGUCUGAGAGGAUGAUCAGCCACACUGGGACUGAGACACGGCCCAGACUCCUACGGGAGGCAGCAGUGGGGAAUAUUGGACAAUGGGCGAAAGCCUGAUCCAGCAAUGCCGCGUGAGUGAUGAAGGCCUUAGGGUUGUAAAGCUCUUUUACCCGGGAAGAUAAUGACUGUACCGGGAGAAUAAGCCCCGGCUAACUCCGUGCCAGCAGCCGCCGCCG